This is an RNA transcript of Scleropages formosus (Asian bonytongue), 1514 nucleotides long. It is a transcript of the gene named tumor necrosis factor receptor superfamily member 5-like, with no coding region annotated. Lineage: Eukaryota; Metazoa; Chordata; Actinopteri; Osteoglossiformes; Osteoglossidae. The transcript has 12 exons. The record is from RefSeq and is a predicted model, not a curated record.
UAAACACGAUUAGUCCCCCAGAGUCACGAGCAGUUGAAGUUCGCACUGAAAAGGAAGCGCACGAAACUUUUACCCUGUUUACUCUCGAGUAAUAAACUGGUGCGCUUCGACGCAGAUUUACCACUGUUGGUGUUUCUGUGUUUUAUUCCGACAGACGGUGUAAUAUUCCUGUUUACAAUUACCGUGGUCCUGCGACUCUUUCAUACCGGCGACGGGUAAAGAGAAUCAACACGUGAAAUAUUUUCUGUGAUAGGCUCCGGGCCACUGUGACCCUGACUUGGAGAAGCGGAUUCUGGUCGAGCGAGAACAAGAACUGCAGUAAAUUGCAUGUGCUGUAGGUGGAGCUCAAAUCCAAAAGGUUGAAGAAUGAACUGUUACAACUGAACAUGGUUGCAAAGGAUUAAAACAGCUUUAUUUAAGAUAUUAUUACUGAACUAAGAUUUAUGGGCACUUGAUAUUUUCCCCAGUGGAUUUGGAUAUGAUGUUCUACCAAACGAUAUGUGCAGUGUUUCUUCUGCUUUUAAAAUCUGACUUAUGUCCUCCAUGUGAUCGGGCUGAAUAUGAAAAAAAUGGAGAGUGUUGUCCCAUGUGUCCACCUGGAACCCGAGUUCACAGACACUGUACAGCGUACACCAGUACUACAUGUGUCCCAUGUAUUGGAGACACUUUCACCGACAAACCAAAUGGUCUGAUUUCCUGCUUUCCCUGUACAGUGUGUCAAAAAGGUCUUGGUGUGAAGACAGUAAAGGAGUGUACAGCCUCUUCAGACACAGUGUGUGGAGUCCUGGAAGGGAACUAUUGUAUUGAUCCUUAUGGGGGAGGAUGUAGAGCAGCACAGGAACACACAACCUGCAAACCUGGACACUUCAUCAAACACCCUGGAACAGACUCUACUGACACCGUGUGUGAAAUCUGCCCUGAAAACUCUUUCUCAGAUGGAUCUUCUACCUCCUGUACAUCACACACAGACUGUCAAUCCAAAGGACUUCCCACAGUGAAACCAGGAGACAGUGUGUCUGAUUCUCAGUGUGGAGAGAAGAAUUGGGCUCCUCUGAUAGUUGGGAUUGUACUUGGAAUAAUUUUAGUGUUAUUACUCGUUGGAGGAGUAAAACUGUACAAAUCACGGGUCUGUCCAAAGAAAAACAACUCCAGCAAACCAGGGCCCUUACAACAAGAUCAGGAAUGCCAACUGCAGCAAUCAGAAGAAAGUGAAGUUGUUCAGAAACAAAUUCCUGCUCAGAUUCUCAUAAAUUGUUAAACAAACCAAUAAACAAUAUUUUGCACAGAAUUAAAUACCUCACCUCAGCCUGUUGAGCAGAGAUCAGACAGUGAAGAUGUGACAGCUGGUGUUUUCGAAGCAGAAUGAGAAGGCUGUUAAGCCCAUGAAAUAUCAUCCACUGACUCAUGACCCAUAACCACUUAUCCGAAGAGUUUUAGAAGAAUUUCACAACAGAUGAAUCAUUGGAUAGAACAUUGAAGACAAGAAGUACAAUGAGAAAACUGGGACUAAUUCC